UGACUGGUGUGAUUGUCGCCAUUGUCGCCAUUGUUAUGAUGAAGAAGAAAGGCUACAAGAAGGCAGAGCAGUCCGAUUCCGAAUCUGAUCACUCCAACGGUGCACGGGCUUGAGUGUGGUAACUGCUGAAUGUGAAGAGUGAGGAGCAAUGAAGAAGGAUAUGCAAAUCAACAAACAGAUUUCUCUCUAUAUGCAACAUCCUACAAUGGUUAUAUCCAUGAUUUAGGUAUAAUGUUAAGAUUUUAUGUCUAUUUACUUUCAUCCAGUUUUUAGCAAUAACUCAUCCUUUUCUCAAACUGCUGUACAAACAAAAUAGAUUCUAGUGCAGUCAAAUCUGUUCUAUUGGUGUGAAGAGUAUUGAUUUGAAUAUAAUAGUAGGCAUUGUGGUUUCUUUAAUUGUAUUGUGUUGGUGUGCUGUUGCUUUGUAUUGCUCUGUACUAUGUGUUUUUUAAUAUAUUUGUUUCACCAUUUGAACUGGUGAUGGGAAGUGGGCAAUUCUUGAUUCUAGGGUGAAACAAAGAUCCACUUUUUUUUUCAUCUUUCAUAUUUUCAAUUUUUUCCAGUCAGCAAUUGAAUGAGUCAAUAACCAGAUUGACUACAUAUAGACUUGAUUCACAAACAUACACAUUUAGAAUUGUGUUAAAAAUUGAUUUUGUAGAUACUGCUGUCAUCAAUGGAAAUCUUUUACAAAAAAUAAAAUCUACCAAAUUGGAA
This is a long non-coding RNA of Alosa alosa (allis shad), 714 nucleotides long. RefSeq lists it as uncharacterized. NCBI's taxonomy places the organism in Eukaryota, Metazoa, Chordata, Actinopteri, Clupeiformes, Clupeidae. The transcript has 4 exons. The record is from RefSeq and is a predicted model, not a curated record.